RNAcentral lists this transfer RNA (76 nucleotides) under Gammaproteobacteria bacterium. Its description in RNAcentral is "tRNA-Gly". It matches the Rfam family "tRNA". Rfam says of the family: Transfer RNA (tRNA) molecules are approximately 80 nucleotides in length. Their secondary structure includes four short double-helical elements and three loops (D, anti-codon, and T loops). RNAcentral also lists the same sequence under 1 other name. Lineage: Bacteria; Pseudomonadati; Pseudomonadota; Gammaproteobacteria. The record is from RNAcentral.
GCGGGAAUAGCUCAGUUGGUAGAGCACCACCUUGCCAAGGUGGAUGUCGCGAGUUCGAGUCUCGUUUCCCGCUCCA